UGUUAUCUGAAUAUUGAUGAAGACGCACUCUGCGAGAAAGCGAGGAGGAGUCCAGAAGACGGCCAAACUCUUGGUCUCGCACCCACCGCCCACACCGCUCAAGAGUCCAAGCGUCGCCAUCGACUCGCCGUUGCACCUUCACCCGGCCUUCUCAACGGUAAAAAUGGCGUCAAUAAAAGCUCAGGAACAAACAGCAAAUCCACCAAUCCACCAUUCACGAUUCACCAUCCACACUCACAGACUCACCGAUCCUGUCUACAAACUACAAAUCCUCCAUAGCAAGUAGCAACCACUGAACCACUGAACGUCUGAACCACAAGGUCUUCACUCUUCAGUCUUCACACUUCAAGUCCAGCCCUUCGGCCUUCGCCUAAGCCUUAUCACCUAAUUAUCAGGGAUUGAAGGCACAUGUUAACCGGUUAGGGCAAGAUAAAGAUUUUUGAUUAAUUGAUUCUCAAGUUCAAACAGGUGCUUUUGUUCCUUUUUUUUUUGUUAAGAUCAAUUUUAUUUUAAUUUUUAUUGACCUUCCACUUGGAAGGUUUUACUUGAUAAUGUGUCAAACUUAACUGUAAAAUCUUUAUGCAAUACACGAUGGGAGAGUCGAAUAAAAAGUGUCAAAGCUAUUAGAUUUCAAGCUCCUCAAAUAAGGUUGGCUUUGUUAGAAUUAUGUGAAUCUUGUGAUGAUGCCAAAUCAAAGAGUGAAGCGGAAAGCUUGGUUAGUGCACUUGAGAGUUUUGAAUUUUUACUUGGAAUUGUUAUUUGGUAUGAAAUUUUAUUUGCUAUUAACAUGGUAAGUAAAAGGUUGCAAACAAAAUCUAUGUGCAUUGAAACUACUAAAAAUCAAAUUAAAGGUGUAAUAGAUUUUUUUGAGAAGUAUAGAAAUGAAGGGUUUGUUUCUAGUAUAAAUAUUGCCAAAAGUAUUGCAUGUGAGAUGAACAUAGAGCCUACAUUUCCAAUUAAACGUCGUAUUAUUAGGAAAAAACAAUUUGAUGAAAAUGAUUAUGAGGAGGAAAUGCAAUCACCUGAGGAAUCUUUUAGAGUUAAUUAUUUUCUAAUUGUUGUGGAUAUGGCAAUUGCUUCAUUGAAUACUAGAUUUGAACAAUUGAACACAUUUGAAAAUAUUUUUGGAUUCUUAUAUGAUUCAAAAAAAUUGAAGUCAUUAGAUAAUGAUGAAUUAAUGGAAUGUUGUAAUAAUUUUGCAUUUACUUUUUCUCAUAACAAUGUGUCAGAUGUAGAUUCAAAUGAUCUUUUUUUCUGAAUUAAAAGUGUUACAGGUGACUUUGCCAGACAAGUUGAUGUCCGCAAUCGAGAUUCUUGAGUUUGUCAAAGUUGCAGAUUGCUACCCAACGGUUUCUAUUGCUUAUCGGAUUCUAUUGACUAUACAGGAACGGCCCUGCUUAGCUCGUCUGCUCUUCGACGUCCGUAAAUGACUCCAGCCUCCACCCCUCCCACUACCGCUGGAGCCAUCACUAUCAUCGGUCUCUCUCUC
Molecule: long non-coding RNA, 1489 nt
Organism: Ipomoea triloba (trilobed morning glory)
Lineage: Eukaryota; Viridiplantae; Streptophyta; Magnoliopsida; Solanales; Convolvulaceae
Exons: 3
Source: RefSeq, a predicted model, not a curated record